ACUCCAUGUAGUCGGUCGAACCCAUCAGAUCAGGGGGAUAUGUCAGGUGAUAGUGGGCGGCACGGUGAUCCAAGCAAAGAUAUUAUUUCUUAGUGAGUAGGUCUUCACAAGGAGGUAUGUUUUAUUCAUAUAUACACAUUCACACAACAAAUAGAAUAAUCACUCUCAAUACACUAAAUUCUAUUAUCCUCUUAAGUUAACUUUGUGAACAGACAUACUUACUCUCACGCCUGAGCUAUCCCCCGGCGGUCCGGCCGUCAAGCUUGUGGUGUUUGUCGUGUUUACUGUGCAGGAUCAGGACGUCUUUCGUGAUUGGGACGUGGAGAAAGAUCUUGGCGUUAACAA
This 345-nucleotide long non-coding RNA is filed under the name Panax ginseng (ginseng). Its description in RNAcentral is "long non-coding RNA (PGIN_LNC015661)". The record is from RNAcentral. Lineage: Eukaryota; Viridiplantae; Streptophyta; Magnoliopsida; Apiales; Araliaceae.